RNAcentral lists this ribosomal RNA (457 nucleotides) under uncultured bacterium. Its description in RNAcentral is "partial 16S ribosomal RNA". It matches the Rfam family "Bacterial small subunit ribosomal RNA", at positions 338 to 795 of the family's 1533-position model. The record is from RNAcentral.
CCUACGGGAGGCAGCAGUGGGGAAUAUUGGGCAAUGGGCGAAAGCCUGACCCAGCAACGCCGCGUGAAGGAAGAAGGCUUUCGGGUUGUAAACUUCUUUUGUCAGGGAACAAUGGCGGGGACUAGUCCCCGGAUGAGGGUACCUGAAGAAAAAGCAUCGGCUAACUCCGUGCCAGCAGCCGCGGUAAUACGGAGGAUGCGAGCGUUAUCCGGAUUAUUGGGUUUAAAGGGUGCGCAGGCGGCCUGUUAAGUCAGCGGUAAAAGCCCGGGGCUCAACCCCGGCGAGCCGUUGAAACUGGCGGGCUGGAGUUGGAGAGAAGUACGCGGAAUGCGCGGUGUAGCGGUGAAAUGCUUAGAUAUCGCGCAGAACCCCGAUUGCGAAGGCAGCGUACCGGCUCCACACUGACGCUGAGGCACGAAAGCGUGGGUAUCGAACAGGAUUAGAUACCCGGGUAGUC